GAUGAACGCUGGCGGAGUGCCUAACACAUGCAAGUCGAGCGGCAGCGCGAAGAAUUUAUUCUUUGGCGGCGAGCGGCGGACGGCUGAGUAACGCGUGGGAACGUGCCCCAAAGUGAGGAAUAACUGCCCGAAAGGGUAGCUAAUGCCGCAUAUGAUCUUCGGAUUAAAGCUUUUAAGCGCUUUGGGAGCGGCCUGCGUCCGAUUAGAUAGUUGGUGAGGUAAUGGCUCACCAAGUCUACGAUCGGUAACUGGUUUGAGAGGAUGAUCAGUCAGACUGGAACUGAGACACGGUCCAGACUCCUACGGGAGGCAGCAGUGAGGAAUCUUCCACAAUGGGGGAAACCCUGAUGGAGCAACUCCGCGUGCAGGAUGAAGGCCUUCGGGUCGUAAACUGCUUUUAUGAGUGAAGAAUAUGACGGUAACUCAUGAAUAAGGGUCGGCUAACUACGUGCCAGCCGCCGCGGUAAUU
RNAcentral lists this ribosomal RNA (469 nucleotides) under uncultured bacterium. RNAcentral describes it as "bacterial SSU rRNA". It matches the Rfam family "Bacterial small subunit ribosomal RNA", at positions 28 to 525 of the family's 1533-position model. The record is from RNAcentral.